RNAcentral lists this long non-coding RNA (1442 nucleotides) under Betta splendens (Siamese fighting fish). RNAcentral describes it as "lncRNA (ENSBSLG00000022818.1)". The record is from RNAcentral. Lineage: Eukaryota; Metazoa; Chordata; Actinopteri; Anabantiformes; Osphronemidae.
CACAUUUGAGCCAUGUUUGUUAACAGAAACACAUUUUAUACAUGAAGAAAGGCUAAACGCUGACCUUUUACAGACGGCAGCCGUACUAAGUAAGAUUUCCAGGAAACCAGCCUCAAUAGUUUUAUUUAUAAAAACAUGAUGCUAUACUCAAAGAUGUAUUGUGUAGAUAUAUUUAUAAAUAUUUCCAGGUAUGUCAUACAAUCAACUUGAUUAAGGUCAGAUGACUGUGAACAAUGUUGGUAAACAGACAUAUCUAAUGUUAUUAGAGAAUUUAACAUCAGAUAGAAGUCAUGUAAAAACUGCAUUUGCUGCUACUGCUGCUGUGAUAAUGUUGGUUAAUGAAAUGUUAUGUGAACAACUAAAGGCUUUCAGUUCACCAGCAUUAAUCACUACCACAGCUGUUGCUUUUUCUUCACUGGCGUAAGAGCUUCUUUACCAUAGUAAAUUCAAUUCAAUUCAAUUCAAUUUUAUUUAUAUAGCGCCAAAUCACAACAAGUUAUUUCAAGGCACUUUACAAAGUAAGGUUUAAAACCUCACACAACUAAACCCAACAAAUCCCACAUACAGCAAGCAUUUAAUUUGACAGCAACAGUGGAGAGGAAAAACUCCCUCUCUAACGAGGAAGAAACCUCCAGCAGAACCAGACUGGAUGUGGGCGGCCAUCUGCCUCGACCGGUUGGGGUGAGAGGAUAGAGAGAUAGAAAAGCACAGCAACAGCAACAAGCAACAACAAGCAACAACAGAGCACAGGCAGGAUGGUAGGACCAGGGACUGGAUGCAGGCAGGAUGGUUGGAUCCGCAGCUGCCCAUCACAGACACCAAACUUUGAGUCCAAUGAUACCUGUGGGUGAGGACAGAGAGGGAGAAAGAGUGGGGGUGGGGGGGAGAGAGGAGAGAAGCACAACUACUGGACAGAAAGAGACAAGGUUAGUUAAACAUGGGACAAUGAUGGGAGGUUAUGGGACAGAGGAGGUAGAAGGAAACAGGGGGGAGAAGCACAACUACUUGAGAGAAAGAGACAAGGUUAGUUAAACAUGGAAUAACAAUAGAAUUAUUGGAUAGAAGAGUUAAAAGGGACCAGAUGAGCUCACUGUAUAAAUUAAGUCCCCUAGCAGUCUAUGUCUAUUGCAGCUAAAAGAUGGUUCCUGUGAUCAAAAAUUUGUACCAAUGAAUUAUAUCUGGUGCCUUUGAGCUAUAAUCAAAAUGUAUGUCAGGCAUUUUCUUUGGUUUAUUCUAGUUCAUUCACUCUGUUCAACAUUUAAAACUCACGCAUUCACUCCUUUGCCUCCAGAUGUGGGUGUAAUUCCUUAUGCUGUGGAGCCUGGUUUGUCCAAUACUAUGAUCAUAAGGUGCAUAAACCAGCCUCUUGUGGACAUAAUCAAGACCUUUAGGUUGUUGAUAAUCCAGCAGAAGGAGCCUACACCACCAUCUACCUCACAGUC